RNAcentral lists this ribosomal RNA (251 nucleotides) under uncultured prokaryote. Its description in RNAcentral is "partial 16S rRNA". It matches the Rfam family "Bacterial small subunit ribosomal RNA", at positions 525 to 775 of the family's 1533-position model. The record is from RNAcentral.
ACGGAGGAUGCGAGCGUUAUCCGGAUUUAUUGGGUUUAAAGGGUGCGUAGGCGGAUCAAUAAGUCAGUGGUGAAAUUCUGCAGCUUAACUGGAGACUUGCCAUUGAUACUGUUGGUCUUGAGUAUGGUCAAGGUAGGCGGAAUGUGUAGUGUAGCGGUGAAAUGCGUAGAUAUCACGCAGAACACCGAUUGCGAAGGCAGCUUGCUGGGCCAAAACUGACGCUGAUGCGCGAAAGCGUGGGGAGCGAACAG